UAAGUUUAAUACUCCAUAUAAAAGAAACCAAGCUAAGCCAAGCCAUCUUAAUUAAUUAACUAAGUCAGCUGAAUUAAUGAUUUACGCACCUGUAAAAUGAAUCAUGGCAUAUAUCUACUCCAAGUGUAUUUCUUGAGUUUCCAUCGGCAGCUUCGUCCAGCCCAUGCAACUUAACCUCAAAUCAUACGCAUGCAAGUACAACAAACGUUUUAAUUAAACUUGAUAUAUAUAAUAUAUUUAUAUAUAGUAUGUAUAUUAAACCAUAUAUAUAAAUGUGUGUGACGGAUCCGGUUAGCAUGAAAUUAUUUUUUUGAUAAAUUGGUCAGUUAAUCAAUAGAAUACUGACACACUUCCUGACAUUAGUUAAAUAAUUUAUAUAUUUGAUGAAAUGCUCACUUUCUUUUGGAGACGGGUGUUCUCUUCUUGAAGGGCUCUCUGCUGCAUUGCCACAAAAUAAUUAAGAAUUAUGUGAGUGACAUUACGUACGUACUAAUUAAUUAAGUCAGUAUACAUAUACAUAUAGCUAGCCGCCUAUGAAAUCUCGAUCUGAUC
This 552-nucleotide long non-coding RNA is filed under the name Panax ginseng (ginseng). RNAcentral describes it as "long non-coding RNA (PGIN_LNC016038)". The record is from RNAcentral. Lineage: Eukaryota; Viridiplantae; Streptophyta; Magnoliopsida; Apiales; Araliaceae.